UACGGAGGGGGCUAGCGUUGUUCGGAAUUACUGGGCGUAAAGCGCACGUAGGCGGCUUUGUAAGUUAGAGGUGAAAGCCCGGGGCUCAACUCCGGAAUUGCCUUUAAGACUGCAUCGCUCGAAUUGUGGAGAGGUAAGUGGAAUUCCGAGUGUAGAGGUGAAAUUCGUAGAUAUUCGGAAGAACACCAGUGGCGAAGGCGGUCUGCUGGGCAGUUGCUGACACUGAGGCGCGACAGCGUGGGGAGCAAACAGG
RNAcentral lists this ribosomal RNA (253 nucleotides) under uncultured bacterium. RNAcentral's name for it is "partial 16S ribosomal RNA". It matches the Rfam family "Bacterial small subunit ribosomal RNA", at positions 524 to 776 of the family's 1533-position model. The record is from RNAcentral.